Molecule: transfer RNA, 69 nt
Filed under: Reinwardtoena reinwardtii
Lineage: Eukaryota; Metazoa; Chordata; Aves; Columbiformes; Columbidae
Description: tRNA-Arg
Rfam family: tRNA
About the family: Transfer RNA (tRNA) molecules are approximately 80 nucleotides in length. Their secondary structure includes four short double-helical elements and three loops (D, anti-codon, and T loops).
Source: RNAcentral
AGAAAGUUAGUCCAAUCAAGACAGUUGAUUUCGACUCAACAGAUCAUAGCUUAACUCUAUGACUUUCUU